ACGUCACAAUAUAAAGACGUUGUUAGUGUUGUUUGCUCUCGAGUUAGUUCUGAUCGGAGGCCUCCUCCGUUCACAACCUCAGACCAUACUAUAUAAUGUGUCACUCCUAUUCUUUCUAGCGAGCCGAGCUACCACGUAGGGACUCAAUAGGUUUCGCGAACCAAAUGAGGGACCCUCAAUAUGAUCGCUUGGACUGCUCGGAAAAGCAACCAGAUCUUCCUUAAAUCACAUACCCUCAUCUAAAACAAAAUAAAAAGGGAAAAUUUCACUGAGAGGUAUGGACCACCCCAGAUGAACCCAAUUUUAUCAGGUAUUGUGCUCCUCCGCGCCGAAGAAAAAUAGGUUAUUUAAAUUCACGACUGAGUCUUGUGUUAUAUGAUCCGAUCUAGAGGAACUUUUUCAGACUCUAUUUUACUUUACAACCUUGUUUGGUCCAAAGAGAUGAAAUCAAAUAUAAAUUUCCCACGUGCGUAAAUCAACGAUCAACAAAGUAAAUACAAUUUAUCCCAAUCAAUUCAAUGCUUGGAUAUUUACAAACUUGAAACUGUUUUUGUUGCUUUAUUUUUUUUUUUUUGACAUCUUUGAAAAUUAAAUAAAACCCAGAACUAAUUCAAA
This is a long non-coding RNA of Octopus bimaculoides (California two-spot octopus), 615 nucleotides long. The record is from RefSeq and is a predicted model, not a curated record. NCBI's taxonomy places the organism in Eukaryota, Metazoa, Mollusca, Cephalopoda, Octopoda, Octopodidae.